Molecule: non-coding RNA, 91 nt
Organism: Conoideocrella luteorostrata
Lineage: Eukaryota; Fungi; Ascomycota; Sordariomycetes; Hypocreales; Clavicipitaceae
Source: the annotation of a GenBank genome assembly
UCCGAUGUGGUGUAGUGGCUAUCAUACUGCGCUUUCACAGUCUAUGACUAGAAGUACCGCAGGGAUCGGGGUUCGAUUCCCCGCAUCGGAG